GAAUUGCUAGUAAUGGCAGGUCAGCAUACUGCCGUGAAUACGUUCCCGGGCCUUGUACACACCGCCCGUCACACCAUGAGAGUUGGAAAUACCCGAAGCCUGUGAGCUAACUUAAAGAGGCAGCAGUCGAAGGUAGAGCCAAUGAUUGGGGUGAAGUCGUAACAAGGUAAC
RNAcentral lists this ribosomal RNA (171 nucleotides) under uncultured bacterium. Its description in RNAcentral is "partial 16S ribosomal RNA". It matches the Rfam family "Bacterial small subunit ribosomal RNA", at positions 1329 to 1500 of the family's 1533-position model. The record is from RNAcentral.